GGGCUGCUGAGAAUAGAUAUACAAUCGCUUCUCCGCCUUUUGGCUAAGAUCAAGUGAAGAAUAGGUGUACAAAAAUAGACUCUACAACAGCUGCAUGUGACACUCUCCUUGAUAUUUUUUUUAAUCAACGACAUGUUUUGUUUCUCACAAAGAGAAUAGAUCAUCAAGAGUCUGUGCUGACAGUGGCAGCCAAUCUUGAUGGAGCCAAGAGAACCCUAGAGCGCUCACUGAGGCACUGACACUAAUUCACAUGGCCCUGAUACGAAGAGGAAGCAUAUUGAUUCUCCUUCUUGUUGUUGCUAUGACAAAAUACACAGCAAAAGCAACUUAAAGAAGGCAGAAAGUGUUUAUUUUGACCCAUCCUUUGAGCUGGUACCAUCCAUCAAGGCAGGGAACACACAGCAGCUGGAGUGUGAGAGGUGCUCCAGAGAGAGUCUCUGCCAACCUGCUAGUCAUCAGUGAGCAAUGGGGACCAUCACUGUGCAGGAUCCACCUUGGACAGCCCAUUCAGUUGAACCUCCAGUGAAUUCCAACCCUUGCCACCAUUUCACCAGUCACACAGAACCCUGGACUGCACUGACCCAUGCUAAGACUCCACAUCUGACAGUUUGCCCAAAGGAAAAGAAAGGUUCAAAGACAAAACUGAUCCAACAAAAUAAGCCCUAAGAUGUAAUGAUUGACACUCUAUAAAGUUAAACUAAAAAAACAAC
Molecule: long non-coding RNA, 710 nt
Organism: Mus musculus (house mouse)
Lineage: Eukaryota; Metazoa; Chordata; Mammalia; Rodentia; Muridae
Product: predicted gene, 40328
Exons: 3
Source: RefSeq, a predicted model, not a curated record